UGGGGAAUUUUGGACAAUGGGCGCAGGCCUGAUCCAGCCAUUCCGCGUGCAGGACGAAGGCCUUCGGGUUGUAAACUGCUUUUGUACGGAACGAAAAGCUUCUGGUUAAUACCUGGGAGUCAUGACGGUACCGUAAGAAUAAGCACCGGCUAACUACGUGCCAGCAGCCGCGGUAAUACGUAGGGUGCGAGCGUUAAUCGGAAUUACUGGGCGUAAAGCGUGCGCAGGCGGUUAUGUAAGACAGAGGUGAAAUCCCCGGGCUCAACCUGGGAACUGCCUUUGUGACUGCAUGGCUAGAGUGCGGCAGAGGGGGAUGGAAUUCCGCGUGUAGCAGUGAAAUGCGUAGAUAUGCGGAGGAACACCGAUGGCGAAGGCGGCCCACUAAGCAAUGAUUGACGCUGAGGCACGAAAGCGUGGGGAUCAAACA
Molecule: ribosomal RNA, 427 nt
Filed under: uncultured bacterium
Lineage: Bacteria
Description: bacterial SSU rRNA
Rfam family: Bacterial small subunit ribosomal RNA
Source: RNAcentral